This 70-nucleotide transfer RNA is filed under the name Remora brachyptera (spearfish remora). Its description in RNAcentral is "tRNA-Ile". It matches the Rfam family "tRNA". From Rfam's summary of the family: Transfer RNA (tRNA) molecules are approximately 80 nucleotides in length. Their secondary structure includes four short double-helical elements and three loops (D, anti-codon, and T loops). Further hydrogen bonds mediate the characteristic L-shaped molecular structure. tRNAs have two regions of fundamental functional importance: the anti-codon, which is responsible for specific mRNA codon recognition, and the 3' end, to which the tRNAs corresponding amino acid is attached (by aminoacyl-tRNA synthetases). tRNAs cope with the degeneracy of the genetic code in two manners: having more than one tRNA (with a specific anti-codon) for a particular amino acid; and 'wobble' base-pairing, i.e. permitting non-standard base-pairing at the 3rd anti-codon position. The record is from RNAcentral. Lineage: Eukaryota; Metazoa; Chordata; Actinopteri; Carangiformes; Echeneidae.
GGAGUUGUGCCUGAAGUAUAGGGCCACUUUGAUAGAGUGAAAGAUGGAGGUUAAAGUCCUCUCAGCUCCU